CUAGCCGUAAACGAUGGGUACUAGGUGUAGGUGGUUUCGAUACCAUCUGUGCCGGAGUUAACGCAAUAAGUACCCCGCCUGGGGAGUACGUGCGCAAGCAUGAAACUCAAAGGAAUUGACGGGGGCCCGCACAAGCGGUGGAGCAUGUGGUUUAAUUCGAAGCAACGCGAAGAACCUUACCAGGGCUUGACAUCCCUUGAUCGCUGUAGAGAUACAGCUUCUCUUCGGAGCAAGGAGACAGGUGG
Molecule: ribosomal RNA, 245 nt
Filed under: uncultured Selenomonadales bacterium
Lineage: Bacteria; Bacillati; Bacillota; Negativicutes; Selenomonadales
Description: partial 16S ribosomal RNA
Rfam family: Bacterial small subunit ribosomal RNA
Source: RNAcentral